UCCCCUAGUAACUGCGAGUGAAGCGGGAAAAGCUCAAAUUUGAAAUCUGGCAGUUUUUGACUGUCCGAGUUGUAAUCUAGAGAAGUGUUACCUGUGCUGGACCGUGUAAAAGUCUCCUGGAAUGGGGCAUCAUAGAGGGUGAGAAUCCCGUCUUUGACACGGACUACCUGUACAUUAUGGUGUGCUCUCAAAGAGUCGAGUUGUUUGGGAAUGCAGCUCAAAAUGGGUGGUAAAUGCCAUCUAAAGCUAAAUAUUGGCGAGAGACCGAUAGCGAACAAGUACCGUGAGGGAAAGAUGAAAAGAACUUUGGAAAGAGAGUUAAACAGUACGUGAAAUUGCUGAAAGGGAAACGCUUGAAGUCAGUCACGUUGACUAGAAAUCAGCCUUUGCUUUUGCUUGGUGUACUUUCUGGUUGACGGGUCAGCAUCAAUUUUGAUCACUGGAUAAAGUCUUUGGGAAUGUGGCAUCUUUUGGAUGUGUUAUAGCCCAUUGUCGCAUGCAGUGGUUGGGAUUGAGGAACUCAGCACGCCGCAAGGCCAGGUUUCGACCAUGUUCGUGCUUAGGAUGCUGGCAUAAUGGCUUUAAUCGACCCGUCUUGAAACACGGACCAAGGAGUCUAACAUGCCUGCGAGUGUUUGGGUGGAAAACCCAUGCGCGCAAUGAAAGUGAAAGUUGAGAUCCCUUUUAGGGGGGAGCAUUGACGCCCGGACCAGACCUUCUGUGACGGAUCCGCGGUAGAGCAUGUAUGUUG
Molecule: ribosomal RNA, 751 nt
Filed under: Inocybe sp.
Lineage: Eukaryota; Fungi; Basidiomycota; Agaricomycetes; Agaricales; Inocybaceae
Description: partial large subunit ribosomal RNA
Rfam family: Eukaryotic large subunit ribosomal RNA
Source: RNAcentral